CAGCCCUUGACAUGCCAAGCUACCUGCAGAGAUGCAGGGUUCCCUUCGGGGACUUGGACACAGGUGCUGCAUGGCUGUCGUCAGCUCGUGUCGUGAGAUGUUGGGUUAAGUCCCGCAACGAGCGCAACCCUCGCCCUUAGUUGCCAGCAUUCAGUUGGGCACUCUAAGGGGACUGCCGGUGAUAAGCCGAGAGGAAGGUGGGGAUGACGUCAAGUCCUCAUGGCCCUUACGGGCUGGGCUACACACGUGCUACAAUGGUGGUGACAGUGGGCAGCGAGCACGCGAGUGUGAGCUAAUCUCCAAAAGCCAUCUCAGUUCGGAUUGCACUCUGCAACUCGAGUGCAUGAAGUUGGAAUCGCUAGUAAUCGCGGAUCAGCAUGCCGCGGUGAAUACGUUCCC
This 399-nucleotide ribosomal RNA is filed under the name uncultured bacterium. Its description in RNAcentral is "bacterial SSU rRNA". It matches the Rfam family "Bacterial small subunit ribosomal RNA", at positions 975 to 1375 of the family's 1533-position model. The record is from RNAcentral.